Molecule: unclassified non-coding RNA, 362 nt
Filed under: fungal sp.
Lineage: Eukaryota; Fungi
Description: partial internal transcribed spacer region
Rfam family: Eukaryotic small subunit ribosomal RNA (bases 1-46)
Source: RNAcentral
AAGUCGUAACAAGGUUUCCGUAGGUGAACCUGCGGAAGGAUUAUUAACACGUAUCCUAACGUUAAAACCCCCCCCCGUGAACCUUCAUCCUGCUCUUGUAACCCGCGUAGUUCGCAAUCUCUGAUAAAUCAUAGCCCGGAAAGUUGUAGUGAUUCACCUCUGGCUACGUGCGAACAUUGGAACAGUUAGAAAGUGUCAUUGAUUGUGCAAGGAUAGCGCUUCUACGAUUCCUGUAGACCGGCAGGAGCUUUGCCAAAGGGUCCCCAUGCCCCCUAAUAACCCCACAGUUUAAUGUGAAGCUCAGUGUAAUACAUUGGGUAAAAAAACCGAACAACUGUUAACAAUGGAUAUCUUGGUUCUCA